GAUACCAGGAGAACAGGUAGUUAGGUCUGGCAGCCUGUUGCUAGGAUACCAGGAGAACAGGUAGUUAGGUCUGGCAGCCUGUUGCUAGGAUACCAGGAGAACAGGUAGUUAGGUCUGGCAGCCUGUUUCUCUGACACCAGAAGAACAGGUAGUUAGGUCUGGCAGCCUGUUGCUAGGAUACCAGAAGAACAGGUAGUUAGGUCUGGCAGCCUGUUGCUAGGACACCAGAAGAACAGGCAGUGAGUUCUGAAGUCCACGGGGUUUCAGUACAGAGGGGGCAGAAGCACAUGGGACUGUCUGCC
Molecule: long non-coding RNA, 302 nt
Organism: Oncorhynchus tshawytscha (Chinook salmon)
Lineage: Eukaryota; Metazoa; Chordata; Actinopteri; Salmoniformes; Salmonidae
Source: Ensembl